Long non-coding RNA from Symphalangus syndactylus (siamang), 1858 nucleotides. RefSeq lists it as uncharacterized. The record is from RefSeq and is a predicted model, not a curated record. NCBI's taxonomy places the organism in Eukaryota, Metazoa, Chordata, Mammalia, Primates, Hylobatidae.
GUCUCUUUCCUGUCCUGCCAUGGUAAAGAAGUGCUUGUUUCCCCUUCGCCUUCCACCACAAGUAUUUUUCCUGAGGCCUGCCAGUCAUGCUUCCUGUUAAGCCUGCAGAACUGAUUACUAGAGCAGCCAACCAGGGAAAUAACAGUGAAACAAUAGCUUACAGCUGAAAGAGACCAGUGGGGUGAGUUGAGAUUACAAUCCUGAAGUAUCUGGAUGGCAGAUGACAGAGGUUAUGUGGCCAAAUUGGUCUUUCCCACCUGGCAGCAGCUCUCUUGACACCCACAUCCCUUGUUCGUCUUCAAAAGUUCCUCACUGCCUCAGCGACUAUCUCAGCCUUCAUGAACAAAGUGCUAUGCUGCUGUAAGCAGUUAGAAUAAAUGUGAUUUCAGCUUCAUCAGGCCCUAUCCUUUCACCUCCCUUGUACCUGGUGUAUGUUCCACAGUGCAGCCAUAAACUAUGAAGCCCAGAGGUACAUGACUUCAACUCGACCUCAACAUGCCACACACAGGUGCCUGUGAGCACAGAAGAGGAAAGGACAAAUGUCUGAGCCUCAGGACUUGCAGCCUCUGCCCUUGCUCCUGACCUCCGUGUUUUGCCCAGAUCAGCAGGCCUUAUGGCUACCAGGCACUAGCAACAAAGGCAGGACAGAUGUCAUCUGGGGGGUGACGCAUGGCAGGAGAAUCAGCAGUGGCUGCAAUGUGGUGAGGCUCCACUGGAGAUGAUCUGCCCUAAAUGGACCUUUCUGUGAGCAAAGACCUACAUCACCACAUCAUAUGCUUAGGAAUGAACCGAAUCCUCACACCUGAGGACUGAAUGUAUAAGAAAGCUGAGACAAAAAAGCGUAUCUCCAUAUCUGAGGACUGUGAUAAAAAUCUCUUCUGAAAUUUCAUUUGGCCAUGAUGUUCAGGGUAGUGAACUGAGAGAUUUCUGAUUGAAAUCACCUCUCAUGUCUCUGCUGCAGGUCAGAGGGAAGCAACACAGGGUCCUACUGCACAGUUUUCCAUUUCCCAGGGGAAUCCCAAGACUCCCUCAUCCAGGCUCUAGAACAGGGUUCUAGAGUGUCUUCCAGUGAGCUGUGAGCCCCCCAGAGGCAGGGGCUGCUCUUGUCAUAGUGACUCCAUUAGAGGCCAGAGCCUGUCACCCAGCAAGGGCUCCACUUGCCCAUUAAGUGAAUAGAUGAGGGCCUUUGUUGGUAAAGGCCCCAGAUCCCAAGUCCCAGAGAAGGGUGAGAUUUACCUGAAUGUAGAAGUUUGUGAAGAGAGCAAUCAGGGAAAUCAUGUAUCCAAUCUGGAAAUACAACCAACCAAGAGGGAAUGUGCACGGCCAGAUGACCCCGCAGCUGGUCUGGAUGAUUGUCAGCACAAACUGAAGCUAGGGGAACAGAAGGGAGGCAGCUGAACAGGGACAGUGCGUGGACAAGGCCCCACACCAGGCAGACUUUUUAACCAGCAUCACCUAAAUUUCGGAAUUAACACUUGCUGCAGGUACAGCAGUCACUUCACGAACACAACACAUACACUACACUUAUCCUAAACUCUAGGUGUGUUUGUCUUAUAUACAUUCUUCCUCUGCCCUCCAAGCUAUUUAAACUACCUUCUCCAAAAUUCAAGGAUACACUACAGAGACAUCCAAGACUUUUUAUUUUUUGAGAAGGAAGAGCAAGCGCGUAUGUUGAAAGGGCACUGAUAACAUCACUGCAGGAUGUGCCACCUGGCUAGACAUCCUUCCAACUCCUUAUCCAUGGACGCUUCUGGUUUGGUGAAGGCUGAUGAGUAGAUUUAAACCUUUACUGGCAAACAACACUAAGUGCAUUGAUGAAUUUUGAUGAAUAAACCUUGAAACGCAUGUGAACUGGUUA